AGUAAUAUAGCUCUGGGGUAGAACACUUGCCUAGCAUGCAUGACCCCUGGGUUCAAUCCCCAGUACUGCAA
This 71-nucleotide transfer RNA is filed under the name Ictidomys tridecemlineatus (thirteen-lined ground squirrel). RNAcentral describes it as "Spermophilus tridecemlineatus (thirteen-lined ground squirrel) tRNA". It matches the Rfam family "tRNA". Rfam says of the family: Transfer RNA (tRNA) molecules are approximately 80 nucleotides in length. Their secondary structure includes four short double-helical elements and three loops (D, anti-codon, and T loops). Lineage: Eukaryota; Metazoa; Chordata; Mammalia; Rodentia; Sciuridae. The record is from Rfam by way of RNAcentral.